AGAGUUUGAUCCUGGCUCAGGACGAACGCUGGCGGCGUGCUUAACACAUGCAAGUCGAACGGAAAGGCCCUUUCGGGGGUACUCGAGUGGCGAACGGGUGAGUAACACGUGGGUGAUCUGCCCUGCACUUUGGGAUAAGCCUGGGAAACUGGGUCUAAUACCGAAUACACCCUGCUGGUCGCAUGGCCUGGUGGGGGAAAGCUUUUGCGGUGUGGGAUGGGCCCGCGGCCUAUCAGCUUGUUGGUGGGGUGAUGGCCUACCAAGGCGACGACGGGUAGCCGGCCUGAGAGGGUGUCCGGCCACACUGGGACUGAGAUACGGCCCAGACUCCUACGGGAGGCAGCAGUGGGGAAUAUUGCACAAUGGGCGCAAGCCUGAUGCAGCGACGCCGCGUGAGGGAUGACGGCCUUCGGGUUGUAAACCUCUUUCAGCAGGGACGAAGCGCAAGUGACGGUACCUGCAGAAGAAGCACCGGCCAACUACGUGCCAGCAGCGGCGGUAAUAC
RNAcentral lists this ribosomal RNA (505 nucleotides) under uncultured bacterium. Its description in RNAcentral is "bacterial SSU rRNA". It matches the Rfam family "Bacterial small subunit ribosomal RNA", at positions 8 to 526 of the family's 1533-position model. The record is from RNAcentral.